AAAAAUUGAAGAGUUUGAUCAUGGCUCAGAUUGAACGCUGGCGGUAAGCUUAACACAUGCAAGUCGAGCGGCAAACGGGAAGUAUGCAUUUUCAUUUUUAAAUGAAGAUGUGUGUUUUGUCUGGCAAGCGGCGAACGGGUGAGUAAAAUCUGGGGAUCUACCCGAAGGAGGGGGAUAACUGUUGGAAACGACAGCUAAUACCGCAUAAAGUCGAUGAGACCAAAGUAGGGGACUUUUUUUGAUUGUUUUUUUCAAUCAAUAUGGGAAGAAAGUAGUUAAAAUUGGCCUUACACCGUCGGAUGAACCCAGACAGGAUUAGCUAGUAGGUAAGGUAAUGGCUUACCUAGGCGACGAUCCUUAGUUGGUUUGAGAGAACGACCAGCCACACUGGAACUGAGAUACGGUCCAGACUCCUACGGGAGGCAGCAGUGGGGAAUAUUGCACAAUGGGGGAAACCUUGAUGCAGCUAUACCGUGUGUGUGAAGAAGGCCUUAGGGUUGUAAAGCACUUUCAAUAGGGAAGAAUUUAGUUUUGCUAAUAUCAAAAUUAGUUGACGUUACCUAUAGAAGAAGCACCGGCUAACUCCGUGCCAGCAGCCGCGGUAAUACGGAGGGUGCAAGCGUUAAUCGGAAUUACUGGGCGUAAAGAGUACGUAGGUGGUUUAUUAAGUCAGAUGUGAAAUCCCUGAGCUUAACUUAGGAACUGCAUUUGAAACUGAUAGGCUAGAGUUUCGUAGAGGGGGGUAGAAUUCCAGGUGUAGCGGUGAAAUGCGUAGAGAUCUGGAGGAAUACCAGUGGCGAAGGCGACCCCCUGGGCGAAAACUGACACUCAGGUACGAAAGCAUGGGGAGCAAACAGGAUUAGAUACCCUGGUAGUCCAUGCUGUAAACGAUGUCGAUUUGAAGGUUGUGACUAUAAGUUGUGGCUUUCGGAGCUAACGCGUUAAAUCGACCGCCUGGGGAGUACGACCGCAAGGUUAAAACUCAAAUGAAUUGACGGGGGCCCGCACAAGCGGUGGAGCAUGUGGUUUAAUUCGAUGCAACACGAAGAACCUUACCUACUCUUGACAUCCAAAGAACUACAUAGAGAUAUGUGGGUGCCUUCGGGAACUUUGAGACAGGUGCUGCAUGGCUGUCGUCAGCUCGUGUUGUGAAAUGUUGGGUUAAGUCCCGCAACGAGCGCAACCCUUAUCCUUUGUUGCCAACGAGUAAAGUCGGGAACUCAAAGGAGACUGCCGGUGAUAAACCGGAGGAAGGUGAGGAUGACGUCAAGUCAUCAUGGCCCUUAUGAGUAGGGCUACAAACGUGCUACAAUGGCGUAUACAAAGAGAAGCGAUCUUGUGAAAGUUAGCAAACCUCAUAAAGUACGUCUUAGUCCGGAUUGGAGUCUGCAACUCGACUCCAUGAAGUCGGAAUCGCUAGUAAUCGUGGAUCAGAAUGUCACGGUGAAUACGUUCCCGGGCCUUGUACACACCGCCCGUCACACCAUGGAAGUGGGUUGCAAAAGAAGUAAGUUGUUUAACCCUGCUGUAAUAAAGGGAGGGCGCUUACCACUUUGUGAUUCAUGACUGGGGUGAAGUCGUAACAAGGUAACCGUAGGGGAACCUGCGGUUGGAUCACCUCCUUACU
RNAcentral lists this ribosomal RNA (1627 nucleotides) under Candidatus Blochmanniella vafra str. BVAF. RNAcentral's name for it is "Candidatus Blochmannia vafer str. BVAF 16S ribosomal RNA". It matches the Rfam family "Bacterial small subunit ribosomal RNA". The record is from RNAcentral. Lineage: Bacteria; Pseudomonadati; Pseudomonadota; Gammaproteobacteria; Enterobacterales; Enterobacteriaceae.